AUUGAACGCUGGCGGCAUGCCUUACACAUGCAAGUCGAACGGCAGCGGACCUUCGGGUGCCGGCGAGUGGCGAACGGGUGAGUAAUGCAUCGGAACGCGUCCUGUAAUGGGGGAUAACCUGGCGAAAGUCAGGCUAAUACCGCAUACGUCCUGAGGGAGAAAGCGGGGGAUUGGCAACGACCUCGUGUUAUAGGAGCGGCCGAUGUCGGAUUAGCUAGUUGGUGGGGUAAAGGCCUACCAAGGCAAAGAUCGGUAGCCGGCCUGAGAGGGCACACGGCCACACUGGCACUGAAAUACGGGCCAGACUCCUACGGGAGGCAGCAGUGGGGAAUCUUGCACAAUGGGGGAAACCCUGAUGCAGCGACGCCGCGUGAGCGAUGAAGCCCUUCGGGGUGUAAAGCUCUUUCGACGGGAACGAUAAUGACGGUACCCGGAGAAGAAGCUGCGGCUAACUACGUA
RNAcentral lists this ribosomal RNA (459 nucleotides) under uncultured bacterium. RNAcentral describes it as "bacterial SSU rRNA". It matches the Rfam family "Bacterial small subunit ribosomal RNA", at positions 29 to 507 of the family's 1533-position model. The record is from RNAcentral.